CGAUUCUUCUCCAGUCCUUUGCUGCUCCUGCUACUGCUCUUGCCUACCCUGCCCACCCAGCCUUUCCCUCCUUUUGUUUUGCCGCCACCUCCUCCGGGAAGUCCUCCCCAGAGGGGAGGGAAGUAUGCAGCCCGCCUGCCAGACGGAUGCGAACCCUGGGGAGCCAGACUCUGGGGGCCGCAAGCUGGAGGGUCAGGGGAAAUCAUGGCUGCCCACAUCCAGAAAGAUCUGCUAUGCCCUGGGAGAAGCUCCAUACCAGCUGACUGGCAAUACUAUUUCCUUCUUUCUGCAGAUUUUCCUCUUGGAUGUAGUACAGCUGGAUCCCUUCUGGGCCUCCUCCGUUAUCUUCCUCGGCCGAGCAUGGGAUUCAGUAUCUGACCCCAUUGUUGGCUUCCUGGUGAGCAGAAGCCCCCGGAGGAAGUGUGGCAAACUGAUUCCAUGGGUUUUGGGCUCUACCCCCUUUGGUGUCUUGCUGUACUGCCUCCUCUGGUUCACACCCUCUGACACCCUCCCCACCUCCUGGAAGUUCUUCUGGCACCUGACCACCUACUGCUUCUUCCAGACAUGUCUGAGUUGCUACCAUGUGCCAUACACUUCGAUGACCAUGUUCCUGGGUGGAAGCCAGAGAGACCGAGACUCUGCCACUGCCUACAGGAUGGGGAUGGAGGUCCUGAGUACCCUCAUUGGCACUAGCCUCCAGGGGCUGAUUGUGGGCAAAUAUCACGCCAGCGUGACCUUGAACUGCCAGGGACUCAAUGGAUCCCUGUCUAAUGAGACCAUGGGCAACAGCACCUCCCCACUCACUGACACAUUGGAAAACACACGAAUGGCCUACCUGACAGCAGCCAUGGUCAUUGGGUCCCUCUACUGCUGCUCCUGUGCGGUCCUUGUCCUUGGGGUGAAGGAGCAGCACGGGCCGCUCAGCACCUUGUACCAGUCCAGACUCCCAUUUGCUUACAGCCUGUUCACCGUCAUGGGCCACAGGCCCUACACUCUCCUCCUAAGUGGAUUCCUCUUUGUCUCCAUGGCAUUCCAGAUGGCCCAGGGAAUCUUCGCCUUCUUCUGCACCCAUGCCGCUGGUCUCUCUGGGACCUUCCAGUACCUGGUGCUCAUCCUACUGGUGGUAGCCUCCCUCUCCAUUCCAUUCUGGCAAUGGUUCCUGGUGAAGUUUGGGAAGAAAAGUGUAGUUUUUGUUGGGCUUUCACUCAUCAUCCCAGCCUUCGUUAUUCUCGUCCAGGUGACACACAACUUCCUCACCUUUGCUCUCACCAUGAUCUUGGUGGGCUGCAGCACAGCCGUGCUCUUCUUGUUGCCAUGGUCCAUGCUCCCAGAUGCUAUGGAUGAUUUCCAGCUAAAGUAUCCCAGCUGCCAGAACCUGGAAGCAUUCUUCUACUCUUUCUACAUCUUUGUCAACAAGUUUGGAGGCGGCCUGGCCCUGGGGAUCUCCACCGUGAGCUUACAUUUUGCAGGCUACCAAGCUGGGGACUGUGAGCCAAAUCCUAUGGUGAAACUGAUUCUCCGAGUGCUCAUGGCCCCUGUUCCUAUCACCCUGUUAAUCAUUGGCCUGACUAUCUUCUGCUUCUAUCCCAUUGAUGAGGAAAAGAGGAAGGAGAUCAGAGCAAAGAUGGAGGCAGCCAAGACCCUAUGCUCAACACUGGAAACACAAAGAGAUAUAAUAUGUACUCUUUCCUUGGCUUCUAUGAUCCUGUAUUCUCAAAGCUCUCCUGAAAGAGCUUAUCAUCUGGGGAAAGCCAAGUAUACAAUUAGUAAUGAUAUAGGAGAGAGUAAGAUCAAGUGAUGUCGGAGGCCCAGAUACACUAUGAGGAAUUGGAAGAGGGAGAGAAUGCUUCCAUCUCAGUGGAGAGAAAGAACAAGGACAUCAGAGGAAGCCUUCAUCGAAUUGGCAUCUGAAUUGAGUGUUGAAAAAAAAUUUUUUUUUAAUGGAGGGACCCAUUAUGCCAGCAGCUGUGAUUUCAAAAGGAGCCCAAGUUCCACUUUUCCCAAUCAUGAAGAUGGUGCUACAGCUGGAGGAACAAUAAACAUCUGGUGGGGCCUUUUCCUUGCAGCUCUUCCUGGGAAGGUUCCUGUUUAGUCACCAUCAAGCUGUGUCAGUCAUUUGAGGAUACGUGCCAGACCCAGAGGGGAAGAAUACACUUAGAGAACUCCAGAAUAUCUCCUUGCAUCCUUCCUGCUUGAAAACAUGACCUCAGCAACAUAUGCUGUCAGUCCUGGAAAGAACCUUAGAGAUCAUCUGAUCUAAACCUUUCCUGUAUGGAGGAAGGAACUGAGGCCCAGAGAGGGCAACUAAUUUAUCCAAAGCCCCACAAGCAGGACUAGCACCCAACUCUGACUUCCAAAUCUUACAUUCUUUCCAGGACAUGGCAUUGUUUCUCCUUGAAUCUCUAGCUCAUCGGGGGGUAAAUGCAGCUUUGGAGUAUAUGGACAUAAAAGAGGUUUCCGUGCUUUCUUUAUUGCAGACAGCAGAGAGGAAGCCUGGUUUUUAGCCCUGUUUCCAGGAGGCCCACGACAACCAAAGCCAUUCUGAAUGCUUACCUCUUUGACAGGGCUAGGUCUACAAGCCCACCUUCUUCUACAAAGAUUUACCUUUAUAUAGUACUUAAAGACUGGGGACAUCAAAGGAAGCUGAGAUUCAGAGGGGUGAGAGGAUUUGCCCAGUUAGACAGCGAGUAAGUGACACAGCUGGGAUUAAAACCAUGGUCCUCUGUCUUUAAGCCUUGUGCUCCUUUUACUUAACCUCUGUUUGCCUCAGUUUCUUCAUCAGUAAAAUAGGGAUCUAUAAUAGGGAUCGUCAUCUGUAAA
This is an RNA transcript of Vombatus ursinus (common wombat), 2820 nucleotides long. It is a transcript of the gene named sodium-dependent lysophosphatidylcholine symporter 1-like, with no coding region annotated. NCBI's taxonomy places the organism in Eukaryota, Metazoa, Chordata, Mammalia, Diprotodontia, Vombatidae. The record is from RefSeq and is a predicted model, not a curated record. The transcript has 15 exons.